GCAUCAGUGGUGUAACGGUAACAUUGGAGCUUCCCAUCGCUUGGACCCCCAAAUGGGUUUAAGUGCUCUAGCCUCGGGUUCGACUCCCGGCUGAUGCA
RNAcentral lists this transfer RNA (98 nucleotides) under Schizophyllum commune Tattone D. Its description in RNAcentral is "tRNA-Gly". It matches the Rfam family "tRNA". From Rfam's summary of the family: Transfer RNA (tRNA) molecules are approximately 80 nucleotides in length. Their secondary structure includes four short double-helical elements and three loops (D, anti-codon, and T loops). The record is from RNAcentral. Lineage: Eukaryota; Fungi; Basidiomycota; Agaricomycetes; Agaricales; Schizophyllaceae.